GGGUGAGUAACGCGUGAGCAACCUGCCCUUCGGAGGGGGAUAGUGUCUGGAAACGGACAGUAAUACCGCAUAAAAUAUAUUUGCCGCAUGACAGAUAUAUCAAAACUGAGGUGCCGAGGGAUGGGCUCGCGUUGGAUUAGAUAGUUGGUGGGGUAACGGCCUACCAAGUCAACGAUCCAUAGCCGGACUGAGAGGUUGGACGGCCACAUUGGGACUGAGACACGGCCCAGACUCCUACGGGAGGCAGCAGUGGGGAAUAUUGCACAAUGGGGGGAACCCUGAUGCAGCAACGCCGCGUGAAGGAAGACGGUUUUCGGAUUGUAAACUUCUGUUCUUAGUGAAGAAGAAUGACGGUAGCUAAGGAGCAAGCCACGGCUAACUACGUGCCAGCAGCCGCGGUAAUACGUAGGUGGCAAGCGUUGUCCGGAAUUACUGGGUGUAAAGGGAGCGCAGGCGGGAAGCCAAGUCAGCUGUGAAAACUACGGGCUUAACUUGUAGACUGCAGUUGAAACUGGUUUUCUUGAGUGAAGUAGAGGUUGGCGGAAUUCCGAGUGUAGCGGUGAAAUGCGUAGAUAUUCGGAGGAGCACCGGUGGCGAAGGCGGCCAACUGGGCUUUAACUGACGCUGAGGCUCGAAAGUGUGGGGAGCAAACAGGAUUAGAUACCCUGGUAGUCCACACUGUAAACGAUGAUAACU
This 696-nucleotide ribosomal RNA is filed under the name uncultured bacterium. RNAcentral's name for it is "bacterial SSU rRNA". It matches the Rfam family "Bacterial small subunit ribosomal RNA", at positions 104 to 817 of the family's 1533-position model. The record is from RNAcentral.